UACGGAGGGUGCAAGCGUUAUCCGGAUUUACUGGGUUUAAAGGGUGCGUAGGUGGGCAGGAAAGUCAGUGGUGAAAUCUCCGGGCUUAACCCGGAAACUGCCAUUGAUACUAUUUGUCUUGAAUACUUUGGAGGUAAGCGGAAUAUGUCGUGUAGCGGUGAAAUGCUUAGAUAUGACACAGAACACCGAUUGCGAAGGCAGCUCGCUAAACUGUGAUUGACGCUGAGGCACGAAAGCGUGGGGAUCAAACAGG
Molecule: ribosomal RNA, 253 nt
Filed under: uncultured bacterium
Lineage: Bacteria
Description: partial 16S ribosomal RNA
Rfam family: Bacterial small subunit ribosomal RNA
Source: RNAcentral